GAGUAACGCGUAGGAAUCUACCCGGUAGUGGGGGACAACUCGGGGAAACUCGAGCUAAUACCGCAUACGCCCUGAGGGGGAAAGCGGGGGACCUUAUGGGCCUCGCGCUAUCGGAUGAGCCUGCGUUGGAUUAGCUGGUUGGUGGGGUAAAGGCCUACCAAGGCGACGAUCCAUAGCUGGUCUGAGAGGAUGAUCAGCCACACCGGGACUGAGACACGGCCCGGACUCCUACGGGAGGCAGCAGUGGGGAAUAUUGCGCAAUGGGCGAAAGCCUGACGCAGCCAUGCCGCGUGUGUGAAGAAGGCCUUCGGGUUGUAAAGCACUUUCACUUGGGAGGAAACGUUCACGGUUAAUACCCGUGAGCCUUGACGUUACCUUGAGAAGAAGCACCGGCUAACUCCGUGCCAGCAGCCGCGGUAAUACGGAGGGUGCGAGCGUUAAUCGGAAUUACUGGGCGUAAAGCGCGCGUAGGCGGUUUGUUAAGUCGGAUGUGAAAGCCCCGGGCUCAACCUGGGAAUUGCAUCCGAUACUGGCCGACUGGAGUGCGAGAGAGGGAGGUAGAAUUCCACGUGUAGCGGUGAAAUGCGUAGAUAUGUGGAGGAAUACCAGUGGCGAAGGCGGCCUCCUGGCUCGACACUGACGCUGAGGUGCGAAAGCGUGGGUAGCAAACAGGAUUAGAUACCCUGGUAGUCCACGCCGUAAACGAUGUCGACUAGCCGUUGGGGAACUUGAGUCCUUGGUGGCGCAGUUAACGCGCUAAGUCGACCGCCUGGGGAGUACGGCCGCAAGGUUAAAACUCAAAUGAAUUGACGGGGGCCCGCACAAGCGGUGGAGCAUGUGGUUUAAUUCGAUGCAACGCGAAGAACCUUACCAGGCCUUGACAUCCCCGGAAUCCUGCAGAGAUGCGGGAGUGCCUUCGGGAAUCGGGUGACAGGUGCUGCAUGGCUGUCGUCAGCUCGUGUCGUGAGAUGUUGGGUUAAGUCCCGUAACGAGCGCAACCCUUGUCAUUAGUUACCAGCACUUUGGGUGGGAAGUUUAAGGAGACUUCCGGUGUCAAACCGGAGGAAGGUGGGGACGAUGUCAAGUCAUCAUGUCCCUUACG
Molecule: ribosomal RNA, 1102 nt
Filed under: uncultured organism
Description: bacterial SSU rRNA
Rfam family: Bacterial small subunit ribosomal RNA
Source: RNAcentral